CACUGUUUGCUAUGAAUUCAUUUACACUUUUUUAAAGAAUAACAACGCUGAGCUGAGUUGUUUCCCAUGGGUACCUUCAGUUCCUGAGCAUGGCCCCCACCCUCUGUGACUCUGGAUCAAGUCUCGACCUGUGGGCUUGGCUUGCUGGGAGCUCUCCAAGGGGCUGCCGCCAGCUCUCUGGAGACAGAGCAAUUACCUGGAAAAGUCUAGAGUGGACUGGAGGUGGGGAGCUGCCUCCUGGCAGGAGGGACUUGGGGCUAGAAAGCAGCAUGGCGGCGGUGAGCCUGGAACGCACCUUGUGGGCCCAUCUGCUGUGGGCCGAGACUUCAUUUCGUUCAGGGGUCCCUUCUUCCUCCCAUGUGACAGCGUGAAUACCAGCUGUUCUGACCAGUCCUGCUCACCUCGUCCCCCCUUGCCCUGGGUUGGAUUAAUAGCAGCAGAUAACCCAGAUGUGGCCAAGGACACCUGAUGAGAUAUCUAUUGGGAGCUUCUGGGAAUGGUUUUCUUAAAACGAGACACAGAAGAGAAUCCACUUCCCUUAUUGGACACAGCUGCGUGUGAUGGCCGGCACCCCAGCCCCCACACUGAGGAAGCUGAACGGACACACUGAAAAUGGCCCAGCUCAAAGAGUGAAGCAGGAUAUGCCUCAAUCAACCCAUCCAUCCCCUGAAGCUG
RNAcentral lists this long non-coding RNA (675 nucleotides) under Equus caballus (horse). Its description in RNAcentral is "lncRNA (ENSECAG00000050628.1)". Lineage: Eukaryota; Metazoa; Chordata; Mammalia; Perissodactyla; Equidae. The record is from RNAcentral.